GACUACUGGGGUAUCUAAUCCCAUUCGCUCCCCUAGCUUUCGUCCCUGAGUGUCAGUUGCGGCCCAGCAGAGCGCUUUCGCCACCGGUGUUCUUCCUGAUCUCUACGCAUUUCACCGCUACACCAGGAAUUCCCUCUGCCCCUACCGCACUCUAGCCGAUCAGUUUCCACUGCCCCUCAGUAGUUAAGCUACUGGAUUUAACAGCAGACUUGACCCGCCACCUGCGGACGCUUUACGCCCAAUCAUUCCGGAUAACGCUUGCCUCCUCCGUAUUACCGCGGCUGCUGGCACGGAGUUAGCCGAGGCUGAUUCCUCAGGUACCGUCACUUUCUUCUUCCCUGAGAAAAGGGGUUUACAACCCAAAGGCUUUCCUCCCCCACGCGGUCUUGCUCCGUCAGGCUUGCGCCCAUUGCGGAAAAUUCCCCACUGCUGCCUCCCGUAGGAGUCUGGGCCGUGUCUCAGUCCCAGUGUGGCUGAUCAUCCUCUCAGACCAGCUACUGAUCGUUGCCUUGGUAAGCCUUUACCUUACCAACUAGCUAAUCAGACGCGAGCUCAUCCCGAGGCGAUAAAUCUUUCACCUUUCGGCUCAUCCGGGAUUAGCAGAAGUUUCCUUCUGUUGUCCCCGUCCUCGGGGUAGGUUCUCACGCGUUACUCACCCGUCCGC
Molecule: ribosomal RNA, 664 nt
Filed under: uncultured cyanobacterium
Lineage: Bacteria; Bacillati; Cyanobacteriota
Description: partial 16S ribosomal RNA
Source: RNAcentral